CAGUGGCCGGCUGGACACGCACCGCCGCCCCGCAGCCUCGCCUCACUUUGCCCGGUCCGGUGCGGCCGCUACGGGUGUAAAAACCGCACCCCUCGUGGAUCCUCAUCGUUGCCGGUGUGCUGGCGACGCUGUGCCCGUAGUUGAGAUGAAUAAGGAAGUGAUGUCCCGCGUGGAGAAAAAGAGGUUGGCGGAUCCCAAAGUGGUCCAGUAUGUGUGGGCUGCCAUCGAGGUUAUCCGCAACCAGAAGCAAAUUGCCAACAUGGACCGUAUCUCCAAGUACCUGAGCCGCGUUUUCAGCAUGCAUCCGAAGGAGACAGCCCGACAGCUGAGCCUGGCCGUGAAGGAUGGCCUGGUGGUGGAGACACUCACUGUUGGCUGUAAGGGCUCCAAGGCGGGCAUCGAGCAGGAGGGGUACUGGCUGCCUGGAGACGAGAUGGAGCCUCAAGGGGAGGGAAGCAAGGAGGGGGAGCUGGGUGACGCCAACAUGUGCUAUCCCGCGUGUCCUCCUCAGGAGUGGGAGGCCGAGAGCCACGACUGGUACUGUUUCCAGUGCCACCUGCCGGGCGACGUGCUGCCCUGCGACAACUGCUUCCGCGUCUUCCACCUCAAGUGUCUGUCGGAGGACGGCCGGCCCCGCGACGCCGGCUCUCACUGGCAGUGCGUCUUCUGCAGGGGGAGUAAAAAGAAGAACCUGAGCAAACAGGAGAUGUGCAAAUAUCUGCGCUUCAUUGUCCAGCGGAUGAAGGAGAGGGCGGUGGACCUGAACAAGAAAAGCAAAGACACCAAGCAUCCCAUGUACAGAAGACUUAUCCACACUGCGCUUGACGUCUCCAACAUUCACGAGAAUCUGACUGAGGGGAAGUACAAGAACUUUGAGGACUUCAAAGCCGACGCCCAGCUGAUUGUUCACAACACGGCUAUCUUGUAUGGAGUUCACAGUGACCAGGCAGAGAUCGCCCGUCUCCUCUUCAGCGACACCUGUCAUGAGCUGAAUGAGUUGUUGCUGUGUAAGAACUGUUUCUACCUUUCCAACGCCCGCCCAGACAACUGGUUCUGUUACCCCUGUAGUCCAAGUCACGACCUGGUGUGGGCCAAGAUGAAAGGUUUUGGCUACUGGCCGGCUAAAGUGCUGCAGAAAGAAGACAACCAGGUGGACGUGCGCUUCUUCGGCCACCAGCACCAAAGGGCGUGGAUUCCAUCAGACAACAUCCAGGACAUCAAGGUGAGCGUGCAGCAGCUGCAGGUGAAGCGCAGUAACGGCUGGAAAAAAGCCUGCGACGAACUGGAAGUCUACCAGCGCUUCCUCAAGGAGGGACGAUUCUGGAAAACGAAACUCGAGGAAGGAGGCUGUGACGAAGGAGGCGGAGGCGGCGGUGGACAGAGUCAGAGCCCGAGGAAGUCACAGAAAGACGGCAACCAGCGGACGGACAGGACGCCGAGGACGGUAAAGACGGAAAAGACACAGAUCCCGGACCUGUUGGAGAGAAUGCAGGGGUCGAGGACUGAGAGAACGGACAGGAGCGAAGAAGCCGAGUCAAGCAUCUCUUCCACCAGCAACGAGCAAGUCCGACAGAUGAAAAGCAGCCAGGAGCCAAAAGCCAAGAAAAGCCGACGGACUCAACAAGUGGAGCCCAAAGAAGAAGCCAGUGACCCUGAGCCCGAGAUGGAGGCAGUAAGCUCGAGCCAAGAGAUCCCGGUGUCGUCUGCCCCGCCGCCACCCGAGAAGCAGUCUGUCUCGACGCAGACCAAGAAGGCGAGCACCGGGUCGCCUCGCACCCUCCACCGUGGGACACAGACCAGCUCAGACGGCACGGCUUGUCAGAACAUGUGUCACGAGAAGUACACUAAAGUCUUCAACGAUGUCAAGGAGAUGAUGAAGGCCGACAACAAGCGCGAGACGGAGCGCGUGGUCCGAGAAGCUCUGGAGAAGCUACGCGGCGAGAUGGAGGAGGAGAAGCAUGAGGCGGUGAGCAAGGCGGUGGGUGCUGCUCAGGCCGAGAUGGACAGGAAGUGCAAGCAGGUGAAGGACAAGUGCAAAGAGGAGCUGGUGGAGGAGGUCAAGAAGCUGGUGGCGCAACACAAACAACUAAUCUCGCAGACCAAGAAGAAACAGUGGUGUUACAACUGUGAGGAGGAGGCCAUGUACCACUGCUGCUGGAAUACGUCGUACUGCUCCAUCAAGUGUCAACAGGAGCACUGGCAUGCCGACCACAAGCGGACCUGCCGUAGGAAGAGAUGAACUGGACCCCCCGCCCCACACACACACACCCAGGAGGACCCCCCCCUUCGCACGCCAUUGGCUCACAGCCCUUCCUCGAACUUCACAAACGUGAACAUUGCUUUCAUCGAGAGAAAAGACGAGGUGGUGAAAAAAAAAAACGUAAAAAGACAACUAGCGGAUGACAGCCAGGCGGACUCCUUUUUAGCAAUCAAUCCUUCCUACCUAAAAUCCACCCCCCCAAAAAACUUACUUAUUAUUGGGGACAGGGUCGCAGCAUCGUUGCUGACUUAACAAAUCUUCCCUUGUUUUUAAUUAUUCUGCACAGUCGCGUUUUUUUUUUUUUUUUUUUUUAUUUGCUUUACAACACUAAAUUGAGUCAUAAAUAUAUAUAUUUUUAAUUGUAACAUGGCUAGGAUUUGUACAAAGGAAACAAGUAGUGCUGAGUGUCAUGCACCUUGGGCAGGAUUUUAAUAAAAAAAAAGAAAAAUCAAGAAUGAAAUAAAAACAAAUAUGCGAAUGACAGAUGGACGAUAUCAAAUAUUAUGCAAAUGAAAUGACGCCAUAAGUUUUUUUUUUUUUUUUUUUCUCUGUGAUGAAGACGGACGGACUGAACGGAGAGAAAAUAUAAUAAUUUGUUCCUUCGUUUGUUAUAGUUUUAUUUUUAAUCAUAUGGAACAUUUGUUGGCCUAAAUGCUCUAAUACGUGCUGCUUCUUGCCUGCUGCUGCACUCCAUGUAAAUAACAUGUUCCCGCCCCCCCGCGUCAUGUAUGAUGUAUUUGACAACCUGAAUGACUUCUUUUUAUCAGCAUGGUGAGUGCACAAGCUGCUUCUCCUCUUUUUCUUCUUGCUUUUACUUUUCUAUUGCUGGGGUUCUCAAACUAGGGGGUACCAGGACCCCCGGAGGUCCACAAGCAAUCAGUGAUGUCGUAUCUUUUACAUACUAAAAUACUGACUCCUCCCUACCUUAUAUUUCAGCCAAUUUAAAGCUGUGAUGCUGAAGUGUUUUAUCAUCACAGAAAUUGGGCAAAAAGUAUACUUACCAUCCCUAUUAAGAAUUUAAAUCAAAGUUUAACGAGGGAAGUAUGUGAUUCUGGCAGUUUGAUAACCGGGAGCAAACAUAUUGUUGGGUGUGUGUGUGUGUGUAUAUGUGUAUAUAUAUAAAUAUAUAUAUAUACACACACACACACACAGUGGGUACGGAAAAGUAUUCAGAGCCCCUUACAUUUUUCACUUUUUUAAAUUGCAGCCAUUUGCUAAAAUCAUUGAAGUUAAUUUUUUUCCCACAAUGUACACACAGCACCCCACAUUUUUGCAGAUUUAUUAAAACAGAAAAACUGAAAUAUCACACGGCCGUAAGUAUUCAGACCCUUUGCUCAGUAUUUAGUAGAAGCCCCCUUUUGAGCUAAUACAGCCGUGAGUCUUUUUGGGAAUGAUGCAACAAGUUUUUCACACCUGGGUUUGGGGAUCGUCUGCCAUUCCUCCUUGCAGAUCCUCUCCAGUUCUGUCAGGUUGGAUGGUGAAUGUUGGUGGGCAGCCAUUUUCAGGUCUCUCCAGAGAUUCUCAAUUGGGUUUAAGUCAGGCAUCUGGCUGGGCCAUUCAAGAACAGUCACGGAGUUGUUCUGAAGCCACUCCUUCGUUAUUUUAGCUGUGUGCUUUUCAUGAGAAUAGCACCUUUGGAAGUACAGUGGGUACGGCAAGUAUUCAGACCCCCUUAAAUUUUUCACUCUGUUAUAUUGCAGCCAUUUGCUAAAAUAAUUUUUAAAAAAUUAUUCAAUGUACACACAGCACCCCAUAUUGACAGAAAAAAACGGAAUUGUUGAAAGUUUUGCAGAUUAAUUCAAAAAGGUGGCACGGCGGGCGAGUGGUUAGAGCAUCUGCCUCAGGUUUUCGUCCAGGAUAUCCCUGUACUUGGCGCAUUCAUCUUUUCGAUUGCAACCAGUCUCCCUAUCACUGCAGCUGAAAAACACACCACACACACCCUGAUGCUGCCAACACCAUGCUUUACUAUUGGGACUGUAUUGGACAGGUGAUGAGCAGUGCCUGGUUUUCUCCACACAUGCCACUUAGAAUUAAGGCCAACAAUUUCUGUCUUGGUCUCAUCAGACCAGAGAAUCUUAUUUCUCACCAUCUUGGAGUCCUUCAGGUGUUUUUUUUUUUUUUAAACAAACUCCAUGCAGGUUGUCAUGUGUCUUGCACUGAGGAGAGGCUUCCGUCGAGCCACCCUGCCAUAAAGGCCCGACUGGUGGAGGGCUGCAGUGAUGGCUGACUUUCUAGAACUUUCUCCCAUCUCCUGACUGCAUUUCUGGAGGUCAGCCACAGUGAUCUUUGGGUUCUUCUUUACCUCUCUCACCAAGGCUCUAUUCCCCCCGAUUGCUCAGUCUGGCCGGACGGCCAGCUCUAGGAAGAGUUCUGAUCGUCCAAAAUGUCUUCCUUUUCAGGAUUAUGGAGGCCACUGUGCUCUUAGGAACCUUAAGUGCAGCAGAAUAUUUUUUUUCUGCUGCACUGUGCACACACAUACAGUGCUGCAAAUGAACUAAAAUGAUGUUAACAAAUGGCUGCAAUAUAACAGAGUGAACAAUUUAUGGGGGUCUGAAAACUUUCCGUACGCACUGUGUGUGUGUGUGUGUGUAUAUAUAUAUAUAUUAUAUAUAUAUAUUAUAUAUAUAUAUAUAUUAUAUAUAUAUUAUAUAUAUAUAUAAUGUAUCAAUUAUAUUAUAUAUAUAUUAUAUAAUAUAUCAAUUAUAUUAUAUAUAUAUAUUUAUAUUAUAUAUAUAUAUAAUAUAUUAAUUAUAUAUAUAUAUUAUAUAUAUAUAUAAUAUAUAUAUGAACUAAAAUGAUGUUAACAAAUGGCUGCAAUAUAACAGAGUGAACAAUUUAAGGGGGUCUGAAAACUUUCCGUACGCACUGUGUGUGUGUGUGUGUGUGUGUCUGUG
RNA transcript from Phycodurus eques (leafy seadragon), 5154 nucleotides. It is a transcript of the gene named zinc finger, MYND-type containing 11, with no coding region annotated. The record is from RefSeq and is a predicted model, not a curated record. Lineage: Eukaryota; Metazoa; Chordata; Actinopteri; Syngnathiformes; Syngnathidae. The transcript has 17 exons.